UGCCCUCAGAAGCGUGAGGCUGAGUGCAGCUCCGGGUGUGUCCUGUUACAGGACGUAAAACACCGUGGUCGCUGCUCUGGUUGGACCGUGCGUUAGUCAUCUGUUGCUGCUUGACAGUCUCCCCCAGAUCUUACUAGCUGAAGCAGCAAACGUUUGUUGUCCCACGGGUUCUGUAGUUCAGGAAUUUGGGGGUGGUGUGGCUGUCUAGUGCUGUCUCAAGGUCUCGUGCGAUUACGGUGAAGAUGUAGGCCAGGGCUGCUGUCAUCUGAGAAUUGGAACUUGGGCCGCAGGAUCAGCUUCUGAGAUGCCUCGCUCACAGGACUGUUGGCAGGAGACCUGUUUUCACCACAUGCAUCACCCCAGAUGGCUGUUUGAGUGUCCCUAAAGCAUGGCAGCUGGCUUCCCUCAGAGCAAGUGACCCAAGAGAGAAACCAAGACAAAAGCCACAAUGUCUUUUAUGGGCUAGCCUCAAGUCACCUUUGCUUCUGUCAUAGCCAAAUCAGCCCUUCAGUGUGAGAGGAUCAACCCAAAGGCAUGAUUAGCCAUAGAGGGGAUCACUGGGGGCCAUCCUGGAGUCUGGCUACACUUAGAGGGUCAACUUAGAUGAGAGAGAUUAUCAAAUUUCAUCUGUGUUCUCAGAACCAUUGUCCAAGUCUUCAUAAGAGUUGACUAAAGUUUCUUCCAAUAGGGACUGGGAGGGCUCGCCUAGCACGUGCGAGGCCCUGGGUUGGAUUCUCAACACCACACAAAAAUAAAUAAAUAAAAUUUAAAAAUUGAGUCCAAUUACAACUUAAAAAAAUUUAAAAGUUUCUUCCAUAGGUGGCAGCACUUGUCCGUGUCCUGCCCUUCACUCCUUAAACGUCUUGAUUGCCUGCUUGUGACAGAUCACAUACCAAGUGUUGUAGACAGAGUCCUGCCCAUGCAGUUCACAACUGAGUGAAUCAACUCUUGCAGUCGUGUAAAAUGUCCCAUUAAUAAUACAGAUAGAUACAUCGAGGGGGGAUGCUCUGCAGGAGGAUUCUUUAAUAGCAAGAAAUAUGAAAUUGAGAAAAGGUGGCAGGACCAGAGUGACUCUGUGUGACCAGAAUAAAUGACAGAGUGAAUGCAUCCCCCCAAAAAAAUAAAUAAUAAGCCUUCGGCUAUGUAAAGGGUUUAGGAUGCAUUCUAGACUAUAUGAGAAGCUGAUAGAGAUUUGUAAGGGGAUGAUUUUAUUAUCAUGGUCCAUAGAUCUGGUCAACAGAAGCUGACUCUGGGAAACUACACAGGUAAGGGGUAUAUCUGAAGGGUACUGUAUAUAUAUAGCUUAGGGAAUUUUAGGGAGGACUAGAGAAAUGGCCCAGACUAAUCUUCCAUAAACAAAGCUCAGAACCAUGCAGAAGAACUCAUGAGGACUACCAUGUCUGAGAUUGCUGCUGCUACCCACCCCAUGCUGAAGGACAUUGCUGUCACUGCUUCUAGGAACCACUGGGGAAUGGCUGCCACAGGUAUUUUUGUUGUUGUUGUUGUUGUUUGUAGCCACCUGUACUGAUAAAAUUCCAAGUUUCCAAAAUCAUCGUGUUUUCCCACCUCAUUUCCAAAUCAAAGACUCACAGGGGUGCAUCUGACUGAGGAAAUGUGGGUCCCACACCUAAGUCCUGCCUACAAAGGAGACUGGGAUUCAGAAUCUGAACUCCUUCGUUGGGGAGGCAGGACUCAUAAUAUUGGAACUCACCCAAGUUUAGGGAAAGCUAUUCAAAAGAGGAUAGGAAGCCAUGAACCCCUAAGGGCAUGCUCACAUCUAAAAUAUAUCAGUGGUAGAGAAUGGUGGAUUAGAUUAGGGCUUCACAACGUCAACAAUAUUGAUCUUUUGGGCCAUAUAAGUCUUUGUUCUGGGAAACUGUUAUGUACAUUGUAGGAUGUUUAUCAGCAUCUCUGGUCUUUAUCCACAAAAUGCCAGUAGAACCCUUUCCUUCCCCAGUUGUAAGAACCAAAGAUGUAUCAUAGCACUGCCAAAUAUCCCGUGAGAGGCAAAGUCACCUUAAGAACCACUGUAGAAAUCAUCUCAGUUAGGAGACUCUUUUGGUACCUGAGAGAAGAAAGGAAUUCAUGGAAUGAUGGGGUGCAGCAAUCAUGCAUAGAGAAGAUGUUGCAGAGGUAGAAAUAAGAAAAUGUGGAAAAUGACUAUGCUCAGGAGGUAUAUUAGGAAUAGCUUCAGUUGCUCUAACAGAUCCACACAACAGUGGAUGAAAGUAUUUCUCUCUGAAAUAACACUCGGAGAAAACAGUGCAAGGCUAAUGUGGUGGCCAUCUUUGGAGGCCAGUCCACCCCUGAGGACUAUGUAAACUUGCAUCAGUUACCACUUGUAAAAAAGGCAAUA
Molecule: long non-coding RNA, 2356 nt
Filed under: Marmota monax (woodchuck)
Lineage: Eukaryota; Metazoa; Chordata; Mammalia; Rodentia; Sciuridae
Source: RNAcentral